AGUCGGACGGUAACAGGGGAGCUUGCUCCCGCUGACGAGUGGCGGACGGGUGAGUAAUGCAUGGGAAUUUGCCCUUUAGUUGGGGAUACCGUAUGGAAACGUACGUUAAUACCGAAUGAGAUCUACGGAUGAAAGGUGCCCUCUUCUUGAAAGGUAUCGCUAAAGGAUGAGCCCAUGUUAGAUUAGCUAGUUGGUGAGGUAAUGGCUCACCAAGGCAUCGAUCUAUAGCUGGUUUGAGAGGAUGAUCAGCCACACUGGGACUGAGACACGGCCCAGACUCCUACGGGAGGCAGCAGUGGGGAAUAUUGCACAAUGGAGGAAACUCUGAUGCAGCCAUGCCGCGUGUGUGAAGAAGGCCCGAGGGUUGUAAAGCACUUUUAGUGAGGAGGAAAGGUUAGUCGCUAAUAUCGGCUAACUGUGACGUUACUCACAGAAAAAGCACCGGCUAACUCUGUGCCAGCAGCCGCGGUAAUACAGAGGGUGCAAGCGUUAUUCGGAAUUACUGGGCGUAAAGCGCGCGUAGGCGGAUUGUUAAGUCAGUUGUGAAAGCCCUGGGCUCAACCUAGGAACGGCGAUUGAAACUGGCAGUCUAGAGUUUAGUAGAGGGAAGGGGAAUUUCUGGAGUAGCAGUGAAAUGCGUAGAUAUCAGAAAGGAACAUCAGUGGCGAAAGCGCCUUCCUGGACUAAAACUGACGCUGAGUGCGAAAGCGUGGGGAGCAAACGGGAUUAGAUACCCCGGGUAGUCCACGCCCUAACGAUGUCAACUAGCUGUUGGUCUUAUUAAAAGAUUAGUAGCGCAGCUAACGCGAUAGUGACGCUGGGGAGUACGGUCGCAAGAUUAAACUCAAGGAAUUGACGGGGCCCGCACAAG
This 871-nucleotide ribosomal RNA is filed under the name uncultured bacterium. Its description in RNAcentral is "bacterial SSU rRNA". It matches the Rfam family "Bacterial small subunit ribosomal RNA", at positions 60 to 929 of the family's 1533-position model. The record is from RNAcentral.